UGAAUAAUAUGAAAUUUAGGUGCUUUAAUUCCAUUGCCUUUAGGAUAGUGCAAGGUUAAGGAGAAUAGGGAAUGAAGUGAGAAUCUUCAACGGACCCACCACUGUAAUGGUAAGUCUUUAAACAUUAUGCCACUGUACAACACUCAAUUUUAAGAAUAUAGAUUUAGUGUAUUAUAGAAUUGAGUGCCCAAUGGGAAGGCGUUUAAAGGCGUUAGAUAAGCCAAAGUCAGGAGACCUGCCUAGAUGUCAGUAGUUCA
RNAcentral lists this non-coding RNA (257 nucleotides) under Maledivibacter halophilus. Lineage: Bacteria; Bacillati; Bacillota; Clostridia; Peptostreptococcales; Caminicellaceae. The record is from RNAcentral.